CGAAUGAACUAGCCCUGAAAAUGGAUGGCGCUCAAGCGUGUUACUUAUACCCCUCCGCUGGGGCAAAAUUUACGCCCCAGCGAGUAGGCAGGCGUGGAGGUCCGUGACGAAGCCUUGGGGGUGACCCCGGGUCGAACGGCCUCUAGUGCAGAUCUUGGUGGUAGUAGCAAAUACUCAAAUGAGAACUUUGAGGACUGAAGUGGGGAAAGGUUCCGUGUGAACAGCAGUUGGACACGGGUCAAUCGAUCCUAAGAGAUAGGGUAAUUCCGUUUUAAUGUAGGCGCUUGCGCCUCGCCCUCGAAAGGGAAACCGGUUAAAAUUCCGGCAUCUGGAUGUGGAUUCUCCGCGGCAACGCAACUGAGAGCGGAGACGUUGGCGGGAGCCCCAAGAAGAGUUCUCUUUUCUUCUUAACAGUCUGUCACCCUGAAAUCGGUUUGUCCGGAGCUAGGGUUCAAUGGCUGGAAGAGCGCUGCACUUUUGCGGCGUUUGGUGCGCUCCCGACGACCCUUGAAAAUCCGCUUGAAGAAAUAGUUUUCACGCCAGGUCGUACUCAUAACCGC
RNAcentral lists this ribosomal RNA (560 nucleotides) under Condylostoma curvum. Its description in RNAcentral is "partial 28S ribosomal RNA". It matches the Rfam family "Eukaryotic large subunit ribosomal RNA", at positions 1298 to 1857 of the family's 3401-position model. The record is from RNAcentral. Lineage: Eukaryota; Ciliophora; Heterotrichea; Heterotrichida; Condylostomatidae.